UACGUAGGUGGCGAGCGUUGUCCGGAUUUACUGGGCGUAAAGGGAGCGUAGGCGGGCUCUUAAGUGAGAUGUGAAAUACUCGGGCUCAACUUGAGUGCUGCAUUUCAAACUGGAAGUCUAGAGUGCAGGAGAGGAGAAUGGAAUUCCUAGUGUAGCGGUGAAAUGCGUAGAGAUUAGGAAGAACACCAGUGGCGAAGGCGAUUCUCUGGACUGUAACUGACGCUGAGGCUCGAAAGCGUGGGGAGCAAACAGG
Molecule: ribosomal RNA, 253 nt
Filed under: uncultured bacterium
Lineage: Bacteria
Description: partial 16S ribosomal RNA
Rfam family: Bacterial small subunit ribosomal RNA
Source: RNAcentral